ACAAUCAAAUGACAACCUAGGAUCAUUUCAUUUCAGAGUUAAAACUAAAAUGGUAGCUUGUUCAUAGAACUCAUGUCACAAACUAUCUAUCAAACUCUGCAUGAAAGUUUACAUCACUAGCAACAGACCCCAUUACCGGAUUUGAAUUGGCCGAUCCAGAUUCCAACAACUCCUGGUGAGCAGCUUGGUUUCCAGACGCAAUCGCUUUGAAUUCCCUCUUCAACUUAGUCA
RNAcentral lists this long non-coding RNA (231 nucleotides) under Linum usitatissimum (flax). RNAcentral describes it as "long non-coding RNA (LUSI_LNC000538)". Lineage: Eukaryota; Viridiplantae; Streptophyta; Magnoliopsida; Malpighiales; Linaceae. The record is from RNAcentral.